Molecule: long non-coding RNA, 615 nt
Organism: Macadamia integrifolia
Lineage: Eukaryota; Viridiplantae; Streptophyta; Magnoliopsida; Proteales; Proteaceae
Exons: 3
Source: RefSeq, a predicted model, not a curated record
UAAGGAAAGAAAGAAAAGAGGAAAGGAAAAAUGGAAAGAAAGAAGAAAGGAAAGAAGAAGGAGGGAAUAAAAGAAAAUUAAAAUAAAGGGAAGGGGAUUCCACUCACGUUGGAGUCUUGGAGACCUCUUCCCAGCCCAAGUGUGAAAGAAAGAAAAGAGAGAGAGAGAGAGAGAGAGAGAGAGAGGAGAAGAAAGGAAGAGAUUCAAGGAGGGCCAUACCUGUAGGGAGCGGAUCGAGAUUGCAAUCAAAGAACCUUUCGGCUGCCGUUGAGAAGACAAGCUAAUCGCAACAAGGUGAGCAUAUUUAGGGACUGUACACUCUACAAGAAAGGGACUAGAGAUCUGGUAAUUAUGUACAAGAAACCAAGACACAGUUGAUGGAGUAUGUGAGUGUGUGGACUGCACUGGAGGCCAGGAGCAACAUGAUGUUGAAAAGACGCAUGCCAAUUCUUUUUUUCAUUCUAAUGAUAGAAACAUUUAAUUAGUUAUUAUGAGAUAUUAAAUAACGGUGUUGGAUGAUAUAUUUUGAGUUGAUUUUAUUUUCUUCCCUUUGGACUUUGUUUCGAAACUUGAAAUAAAUAAUUGACGCUGUCAACAGGCAUUGAAGUAUUUAAA